Molecule: ribosomal RNA, 266 nt
Filed under: uncultured bacterium
Lineage: Bacteria
Description: partial 16S ribosomal RNA
Rfam family: Bacterial small subunit ribosomal RNA
Source: RNAcentral
GACAGAGGAUGCAAGCGUUAUCCGGAAUGAUUGGGCGUAAAGCGUCUGUAGGUGGCUUUUCAAGUCCGCCGUCAAAUCCCAGGGCUCAACCCUGGACAGGCGGUGGAAACUACCAAGCUGGAGUACGGUAGGGGCAGAGGGAAUUUCCGGUGGAGCGGUGAAAUGCAUUGAGAUCGGAAAGAACACCAACGGCGAAAGCACUCGUAGCUGGGCCGACACUGACACUGAGAGACGAAGCUAGGGGAGCAAAUGGGAUUAGGAUAACC